Molecule: small RNA, 18 nt
Filed under: Arabidopsis thaliana (thale cress)
Lineage: Eukaryota; Viridiplantae; Streptophyta; Magnoliopsida; Brassicales; Brassicaceae
Description: ATSL063490
Source: RNAcentral
AUGUUAUCAUCAUCACCA